Molecule: ribosomal RNA, 451 nt
Filed under: uncultured bacterium
Lineage: Bacteria
Description: bacterial SSU rRNA
Rfam family: Bacterial small subunit ribosomal RNA
Source: RNAcentral
AACGAACGCUGGCGGCAUGCCUAACACAUGCAAGUCGAACGAAGUCUUCGGACUUAGUGGCGCACGGGUGCGUAACGCGUGGGAAUCUGCCCUUGGGUGCGGAAUAACUUCUCGAAAGGGAUGCUAAUACCGCAUAAUGUCGUAAGACCAAAGAUUUAUCGCCCAAGGAUGAGCCCGCGUAAGAUUAGCUAGUUGGUGGGGUAAAAGCCUACCAAGGCGACGAUCUUUAGCUGGUCUGAGAGGAUGAUCAGCCACACUGGGACUGAGACACGGCCCAGACUCCUACGGGAGGCAGCAGUGGGGAAUAUUGGACAAUGGGCGAAAGCCUGAUCCAGCAAUGCCGCGUGAGUGAUGAAGGCCCUAGGGUUGUAAAGCUCUUUUACCAGGGAUGACAAUGACAGUACCUGGAGAAUAAGACUCCGGCUAACUCCGUGCCAGCAGCCGCGGUAAU